Molecule: long non-coding RNA, 388 nt
Organism: Cyprinus carpio carpio
Lineage: Eukaryota; Metazoa; Chordata; Actinopteri; Cypriniformes; Cyprinidae
Source: Ensembl
GUUUCCAUUAACAGGUUGCAUUGUCCUGAACAGAGCAAAAACAGUAAUUUUUGCAUUCAGGUGCUAAUAAUGUUGUGGUGACAGGGUUUAACAGAAGGUUUUUGUAAGAGUGAUUAAAGGAUCUUCCACACUGUGCUCUACUGGCAGCACAGUAAUAUACUACAGUACUCCCAACAUGUUCCUUUUUUAAUGUAAUGUUAAGAGUAGAGGAUUCUUCUCCAUUUCCUCCGAUGGCAAACUGAGUUUUAUAUUGGUCUUCAGUGGUUGGAUUUUUGUAAUACACAUUUCCAAUAAGAUUUAGUGCACUGUCACCCUUCAGCUGCUGAUACCAUAAUAUCGUUCUAUAGUCAUUAACGGUGUGAGAACAGCUGAUCUGAACUGUUUUCUC